GCAGAAAAUAGGACAGGAUCCUGACUCUGCAAUUGCUCUUGUUCACCAGAUGUGACAGAGGGAUCAUACAAACCCCAGCAGAUUACUCAGACUUCAGUAGCUGGAGGCCCAAUGCAGAGACCACCACACCCAGCAACCCUCAGGCUUUUGGUUUCAGUGGACUGUGGAUAUGGCCAUUAGUAAGAAUCCAGUCCCAUGACCUACUAAGUUAAACUGCUGAUCCUUCAGAAGGAGAAAACUGUAUGAAUAGCUGUCAAGAGGGCAGGAUAGGUAAGUGUGCUAUCUGGAAUCCCACAUAUCCUAAUGUCAGGCCAAUCCUGAGGCACUGAUUCAAGGGAAAAAAAUCCUAUUUAUGUCAAAAUGAUUUUUUACUCAGGCCAAAUCUGACUGUAUUUUCAAAUCUAUGACAUACACAUAAUGGUCAUGAAGGGACAAAAAAAGCAAAACAAUAUAGCCCACCCAUCUUCAAAGACUGUGAAGUGAUAAUCAGUUUUACGCUUCUCGCUCAGAUGAAAUCCAUGCAGGUUUUCAUACAAAGAUGUCUUUAACUCUGAUCUCAUGACAAAUUCCUAAACCAGAGGGAUUGGAGCAGGAGUAAAUGAGAGACACCACUGAUGGACUUCAACGCCAAAGGAGACCCCUGCUCAUCAUUUGUGGCUAGAUUGCAACACCUGUGGCACCCCUCUUAUAAUUGCAUGUCAUGAUAAAAUGUAAAAAUUCUGCCUGAGUGCAGCAGAGAUGAUGAGUUGUGAGGCAAGAGAACCUCUUCAGUACGUGUUGGAGUU
Molecule: long non-coding RNA, 785 nt
Filed under: Cyanistes caeruleus (blue tit)
Lineage: Eukaryota; Metazoa; Chordata; Aves; Passeriformes; Paridae
Description: lncRNA (ENSCCEG00000019906.1)
Source: RNAcentral